AGCAGCCGCCACGGUAAUACGGAGGGGGCUAGCGUUGUUCGGAAUUACUGGGCGUAAAGCGCACGUAGGCGGCUUGGUAAGUUAGAGGUGAAAGCCUGGAGCUCAACUCCAGAAUUGCCUUUAAGACUGCCGAGCUAGCAGGUGAGAGAGGUAAGUGGAAUUCCGAGUGUAGAGGUGAAAUUCGUAGAUAUUCGGAAGAACACCAGUGGCGAAGGCGGCUUACUGGCUCAUACUGGACGCUGAGGUGCGAAAGCGUGGGGAGCAAACAGGAUUAGAUACCCCAGUAGUCCCUGUCUCUUAUAC
This 303-nucleotide ribosomal RNA is filed under the name uncultured bacterium. Its description in RNAcentral is "partial 16S ribosomal RNA". It matches the Rfam family "Bacterial small subunit ribosomal RNA", at positions 507 to 807 of the family's 1533-position model. The record is from RNAcentral.